UACGGAGGAUGCGAGCGUUAUCCGGAUUUAUUGGGUUAAAGGGUGCGUAGGCGGGUGCACAAGUCAGAGGUGAAAUCCCGGAGCCUAACUCCUGAACUGCCCUUGAUACUGUGCGUCUUGAAUUCGGAUGCCGUGGGAGGAACGAGUAGUGUAGCGGUGAAAUGCAUAGAUAUUACUCAGAACACCGAUUGCGAAGGCAUCUCACGAAUCCGCGAUUGACGCUGAGGCACGAAAGCGUGGGGAUCAAACA
Molecule: ribosomal RNA, 250 nt
Filed under: uncultured prokaryote
Description: partial 16S ribosomal RNA
Rfam family: Bacterial small subunit ribosomal RNA
Source: RNAcentral